UGGGCUUGACAUGCAUUGUUCAGUCUAUGAAAGUAGAUGGGGUAGCAAUACCCGAAAUGCACAGGUGCUGCAUGGCUGUCGUCAGCUCGUGUCGUGAGAUGUCGGGUUAAGUCCCUUAACGAGCGAAACCUUUGCCCUUAGUUACUAACGAGUUAUGUCGAGGACUCUAAGGGGACUGCCGGUGUCAAACCGGAGGAAGGUGGAGAUGACGUCAAGUCCUCAUGGCCUUUAUGCCCA
Molecule: ribosomal RNA, 237 nt
Filed under: uncultured bacterium
Lineage: Bacteria
Description: partial 16S ribosomal RNA
Rfam family: Bacterial small subunit ribosomal RNA
Source: RNAcentral